AACCCAUGGUGAGGGCACCUUCUCAAUAAGUCAUUAUACCUUUCCCAUGCAUCGUAAAGAAUUUCUAAAUCUAUCUGCACAAAAGAAGAGAUAUCAUUACUCAACUU
Gossypium hirsutum (cotton) is the source of this 107-nucleotide non-coding RNA. Lineage: Eukaryota; Viridiplantae; Streptophyta; Magnoliopsida; Malvales; Malvaceae. The record is from Rfam.